Molecule: small RNA, 860 nt
Filed under: Pongo abelii (Sumatran orangutan)
Lineage: Eukaryota; Metazoa; Chordata; Mammalia; Primates; Hominidae
Description: retained intron
Source: RNAcentral
CUCCUUUAUAGGCCAAGAGUGGCUUGAAGGGGGUGCAGAGCCUUCUAAUGUAUAAGGAUGGGGACUCUGUCCUGCAGAGGGGAGGCUCUCUGAGGGCCCCAGCCCUCACCAGCCGCUCAGACCGCCUGCAGCAACGCCUCCCAAUCACUCAGCACUUUGGAAAGAACCGGCCCCUUCGCCCCACCAGGAGACGCUGGCUGGAAGAGGGACCUUCUGAGCCUCCAGGGGCGGGGUAAGGCAAAAAGGGAAUAGCAGUGUUGAAAGUGGGAGGCCAGGACUGAUGGGGAGGAGGGUCCCCAAACUCCAGAGCAGCCUGACCAGGGCUGGGGGUCUUGGGCAAAUAUCUGAGGCUGCCCAUCCUCACCCAGGACACCCCCGCUGAGCCCUGAGGAUGAGGGGUGCCCGUGGGCAGAAGAAGCUCUGGACAGCAGCUUCUUGGGGUCUGGAGAAGAACUGGAUUUGUUGAGUGAGAUUCUGGACAGUCUUAGCGUGGGAGCCAAGAGCGCAGGCAGCCUGAGACCGAGCCAGAGUUUAGACUGCUGUCACAGAGGAGACCUGGACAGCUGCUUCAGCCUGGUGAGAGCCUCACCCACUUCCUCAACCCCGCCCCAAGUCUUCCCCUAAUGGUCCAUCCAACUUGCCAGCCCCUCUGCCAUCUAAAAGCCACAACUUCCCUAUCCAUCUCACCUAGCCCAACAUACCAAGAUGGCAACCAGACGAUAAGAAACUACCAGAGCCAGAGCCCCAGCCCCUGUCCCUGCCAUCCCUGCAAAACGCCUCAUCUUUGGAUGCCACCAGCUCUUCAAAGGACCCCAGGUCCCAACUGAUACCCUCAGAGUCCAACCAAGAAGUCACCUCUC